Non-coding RNA from Cicer arietinum (chickpea), 2099 nucleotides. NCBI's taxonomy places the organism in Eukaryota, Viridiplantae, Streptophyta, Magnoliopsida, Fabales, Fabaceae. The record is from RefSeq and is a predicted model, not a curated record.
ACCACUUUCUCCAACUCCUCAUACCUCACCGUGUCGCUCUUUUCCCUUCGCAUUUUACUUUUCUGAUUCCAUUCCGAUCAUCCAUGGCGGCUUCGCGGCGGCUCCGAGAGCUGCAAUCCCAACCCGGUAACAAGAUCUGUGUCGAUUGCUCUCAGAAGAAUCCACAGUGGGCAUCAGUAUCCUACGGCAUCUUCAUGUGCCUUGAAUGCUCCGGUAAGCACCGUGGUCUCGGCGUUCACAUCUCCUUCGUCCGAUCUGUUACCAUGGACGCUUGGUCCGAUAUCCAAAUCAAAAAAAUGGAAGCCGGUGGUAACGACAAUCUCAACGCCUUCCUCGCACGCUAUUCAAUUUCAAAGGAAACCGAUAUCAUAACGAAGUAUAACACCAACGCUGCUUCCGUUUACCGUGAUAGGAUUCAGGCGAUUGCUGAAGGUCGUUCAUGGCGCGAUCCGCCUGUUGUUAAGGAGAAUGUUGCUGCCGGAAAGGGGAAGCCGCCGUUGUCGCAGAAUCGUCGGAGUAACGAUUCCGGUUGGGAUGAUUGGGAUGGAGAAGGAGGUUCUGGAAAUUCUGUUGAUGUGAGGAGUAAGUCGACGGGAGAUUUCAGAAGCUUGAAUGGGGGUGGCGCGCCGGUGAGAUCGAGAUCGACAGAGGAUAUUUAUACUCGUUCGCAGUUGGAGGCUUCUGCGGCGAAUAAGGAGGGUUUCUUCGCGAGGAAGAUGGCGGAGAAUGAGUCGCGACCGGAUGGACUUCCACCGUCGCAGGGUGGGAAGUAUGUUGGGUUUGGAUCUAGUCCCGCGCCUUCGCAGAGGAGUAAUCCUCAAAACGACUAUUUCUCUGUCGUUUCUCAGGGUAUUGGUAAGUUGUCAUUGGUUGCUGCCUCUGCUGCUAAUGUUGUUCAGGCUGGCACAAAAGAGAUCACUUCUAAGGUCAAGGAAGGUGGUUAUGAUCAAAAGGUCAACGAAACUGUCACCGUCGUCACUCAAAAGACAUCAGAGAUUGGUCAUAGGACAUGGGGUUUAAUGAAAGGGGUCAUGGCUCUGGCUUCACAGAAGGUUGAGGAGUACACUAAAGAAAACUCAAAUUGGAAGGCUGAUAGCUGGCAACGAAAUGAGAAUGAUAGAAAUGGCUACUAUCAAGAUUUCAAUCAAGAGACCAAAGGCGGUAGUUCUUCUACUGGAAGAGAACAAUCUUCAUCGGGGCAAUUCAAAACUCAUAGCUCAAACUCUUGGGAUGAUUGGGACCAAAAAGAUAGUUGGAAGGAAGAACCAACUAAAGGAUCAACUCGCUAUUCAUCUGGUGUGCAGGUUGGUACUCACAAUCCAAGCUCUUGGGAUGAUUGGGACCACAAAGAUUCUAGGAAGGAAGAACCAGCCAAAGGAUCAGCUCCCCAUAAUAACGAUGCUGGUUGGGCUGGCUGGGAUAAUGCUAAAGAUGAUGGAUUUGACAACUUUUAUGAAGGUGCAUCUAAUAAGAAAUCUGCUGGACGUAAUGGGAAAUCUGAUGAUGCUUGGACGGGGGGUGGCUUUCUCUAAGGAACUAAUGCAUGCUACUUGAAUUUGUGUCUUGUGGGGGGUGGAGUAGGGAGAGGGGGAAAUGACAAGAGGAUGGGCUGUGUGGAAGUACUCAGCAUCUUGGAAUUGGAAAUUGUUGUUUUAUCCAUCCUUAUUUCCAGUCUCAAGAUUGUUCCAUUGGUGACGCAAAAUACCGCAGAGUUCGGACUUAUGACGUGCAGACAAAGCAGUUGUGCCCCCCAAACCAUUAUGCAUGUGAAAGGACUGUCAAUUGUAACUUAUCAGUGCUUUUUUACUUUCAAACUCAGACCCUCCUAUGUGCAGGAAGAAUGAAUUUUUUUGAGGUUAGUAUAAUUUCAGCAACUUUUAUUUAGGUUGCUCUUUGUUCACUUGUAAUUUUUUUCCUAUGUAACAUUUUGGGAACUUGGAUCUGAAAGAUAGUUUUACAUUUAUAAGUGUUGAAAGAAAGGGCUAAUUGCCCAAAUCUUAAUUCUUGAGAACGGUAUUACCUGCAAUGUGUGAUGAAAAUUUCAGAAUUGUUUUGAAUUUGCUGCCAAUUAAUUCAACCGUGUGAUUUUAUUGCCUCGA